This 299-nucleotide long non-coding RNA is filed under the name Homo sapiens (human). RNAcentral's name for it is "HSALNT0243946". Lineage: Eukaryota; Metazoa; Chordata; Mammalia; Primates; Hominidae. The record is from RNAcentral.
CUGUACAUAAAAAGUGUGGAUAAGCCUGGACAACAUAGUGAGACUACAUGUCUACAAAAAAUAAAAAUUAAAAAAACUAAAUUAGCUGGGCAUGGUGGCACACACCUGUAGUCCUAGCUAUGCAGGAGGCUGAGGCGAGAGGAUUGCUUGAGCCCAGGAGGUUGAGGCUGCAGUGAGCCGUGAUCGCACCACUGUACUCCAGCCUGGGCAAUAAAUUGAGACCGUGUCUCAAAAAAAAAAAAGCAUAUAUAGGCCUGGCACAUAUAUAGGCAUUCAGCAUAACAGCUAGUAAACGUCAG